AUUGAACGCUGGCGGCAGGCCUAACACAUGCAAGUCGAGCGGAUGAAGGGAGCUUGCUCCUGGAUUCAGCGGCGGACGGGUGAGUAAUGCCUAUGAAUCUGCCUGGUAGUGGGGGAUAACGUCCGGAAACGGGCGCUAAUACCGCAUACGUCCUGAGGGAGAAAGUGGGGGAUCUUCGGACCUCACGCUAUCAGAUGAGCCUAGGUCGGAUUAGCUAGUUGGUGGGGUAAAGGCCUACCAAGGCGACGAUCCGUAACUGGUCUGAGAGGAUGAUCAGUCACACUGGAAGUGAGACACGGUCAAGACUCCUACGGGAGGCAGCAGUGGGGAAUAUUGGACAAUGGGGGAAAGCCUGAUCCAGCCAUGCCGCGUGUGUGAAGAAGGUCUUCGGAUUGUAAAGCCGGUUAAGUUGGGAGGAAGGGCAGUAAGUUAAUACCUUGCUGUUUUGACGGUACCAACAGAAUAAGCACCGGCUAACUUCGUG
RNAcentral lists this ribosomal RNA (484 nucleotides) under uncultured bacterium. RNAcentral describes it as "partial 16S ribosomal RNA". It matches the Rfam family "Bacterial small subunit ribosomal RNA", at positions 30 to 507 of the family's 1533-position model. The record is from RNAcentral.